GUGGACGGCGCGGGGCGCCGGAGGCGAGAACCGGCUGAGAUGCACCCGUGGAACCUGCCAAGGUAGUGCUUGCGAAGGGAACGCCAGUGACUCUGGAA
Molecule: non-coding RNA, 98 nt
Filed under: Nakamurella panacisegetis
Lineage: Bacteria; Bacillati; Actinomycetota; Actinomycetes; Nakamurellales; Nakamurellaceae
Description: TPP sequence
Rfam family: TPP riboswitch aptamer (THI element)
About the family: Vitamin B(1) in its active form thiamin pyrophosphate (TPP) is an essential coenzyme that is synthesised by coupling of pyrimidine and thiazole moieties in bacteria. The previously detected thiamin-regulatory element, thi box was extended, resulting in a new, highly conserved RNA secondary structure, the THI element, which is widely distributed in eubacteria and also occurs in some archaea. Analysis of operon structures identified a large number of new candidate thiamin-regulated genes, mostly transporters, in various prokaryotic organisms.
Source: Rfam by way of RNAcentral